This 441-nucleotide unclassified non-coding RNA is filed under the name Hevea brasiliensis (rubber tree). Lineage: Eukaryota; Viridiplantae; Streptophyta; Magnoliopsida; Malpighiales; Euphorbiaceae. The record is from RNAcentral.
GUUGAUUAUCUAUUUCUUAUCUUUAGUAUUGGUCUACAACUAUUUAUUUCAAUUAAAAAGCAAGGACUAAUAUAGCACCCCACGGAACACCUAUUUGAUCCAUCUAGCCUGCCAACAAGGGCUCGGGCCUCUGUUCAAGGAGUGACUUUGUUGAGCUCUUUUAGUGAGUGAACAGCCGCUUUCCUAAUAAAUACAUUCCAUUCAGACGAUUCGGUGGCCGAGUUGGUCUGACUCAGGAAGCUCCCUCCAGAGCAAAGCAAGCUGUAAGUCAGUUUCAAGUCUGCCUUCCGCUAGAAAGCUCACUACACGCCACGUCACUUUUGACUUAGCAAAGAAAGACAAGCUACGAACUACCGCUGCCCUUCCGUGCUCGUAGGUUGACUCCCCUAUGCAUCCCGACUAAGGUCUCACAAACGUGCACUUCCCUUAUGCAUCCAGCCG